AAGUCGUAACAAGGUAUCCGUAGGUGAACCUGCGGAUGGAUCAUUAUCACGUUAUCCACGUAUAAACCAAUCGUUGAACAGUUAUUGUUACCUUUGUUAGUAUGGAUUGUUUUUUGGGGAAACCUGAAAAAAUAAUCUUGAACACAAAGUGUAUUACUAUUCUAAUACUACAUUAACCAAUCGAACCAUUUCUAUAAUGUUUUUCUUUGUGUGAACUGAAUUGUUUCUUACUCGUCAUUCACUUGGUGAGAAGAAAACUAUUUACGAAACAUAUCGAACAACUCUUAGCAACGGAUAUCUUGGUUCUC
Molecule: unclassified non-coding RNA, 308 nt
Filed under: fungal sp.
Lineage: Eukaryota; Fungi
Description: partial internal transcribed spacer region
Rfam family: Eukaryotic small subunit ribosomal RNA (bases 1-46)
Source: RNAcentral